This 1403-nucleotide ribosomal RNA is filed under the name uncultured bacterium. RNAcentral's name for it is "bacterial SSU rRNA". It matches the Rfam family "Bacterial small subunit ribosomal RNA". The record is from RNAcentral.
GAGUUUGAUCAUGGCUCAGGACGAACGCUGGCGGCGUGCCUAAUACAUGCAAGUAGAACGCUGAAGGAGGAGCUUGCUUCUCUGGAUGAGUUGCGAACGGGUGAGUAACGCGUAGGUAACCUGCCUGGUAGCGGGGGAUAACUAUUGGAAACGAUAGCUAAUACCGCAUAAUAUUGACUAUUGCAUGAUAGUCAAUUAAAAGGUGCAAUUGCAUCACUACCAGAUGGACCUGCGUUGUAUUAGCUAGUAGGUGAGGUAACGGCUCACCUAGGCGACGAUACAUAGCCGACCUGAGAGGGUGAUCGGCCACACUGGGACUGAGACACGGCCCAGACUCCUACGGGAGGCAGCAGUAGGGAAUCUUCGGCAAUGGACGAAAGUCUGACCGAGCAACGCCGCGUGAGUGAAGAAGGUUUUCGGAUCGUAAAGCUCUGUUGUAAGAGAAGAACGGGUGUGAGAGUGGAAAGUUCACACUGUGACGGUAUCUUACCAGAAAGGGACGGCUAACUACGUGCCAGCAGCCGCGGUAAUACGUAGGUCCCGAGCGUUGUCCGGAUUUAUUGGGCGUAAAGCGAGCGCAGGCGGUUAGAUAAGUCUGAAGUUAAAGGCUGUGGCUUAACCAUAGUACGCUUUGGAAACUGUUUAACUUGAGUGCAGAAGGGGAGAGUGGAAUUCCAUGUGUAGCGGUGAAAUGCGUAGAUAUAUGGAGGAACACCGGUGGCGAAAGCGGCUCUCUGGUCUGUAACUGACGCUGAGGCUCGAAAGCGUGGGGAGCGAACAGGAUUAGAUACCCUGGUAGUCCACGCCGUAAACGAUGAGUGCUAGGUGUUAGGCCCUUUCCGGGGCUUAGUGCCGCAGCUAACGCAUUAAGCACUCCGCCUGGGGAGUACGACCGCAAGGUUGAAACUCAAAGGAAUUGACGGGGGCCCGCACAAGCGGUGGAGCAUGUGGUUUAAUUCGAAGCAACGCGAAGAACCUUACCAGGUCUUGACAUCCCGAUGCCCGCUCUAGAGAUAGAGUUUUACUUCGGUACAUCGGUGACAGGUGGUGCAUGGUUGUCGUCAGCUCGUGUCGUGAGAUGUUGGGUUAAGUCCCGCAACGAGCGCAACCCUUAUUGUUAGUUGCCAUCAUUCAGUUGGGCACUCUAGCGAGACUGCCGGUAAUAAACCGGAGGAAGGUGGGGAUGACGUCAAAUCAUCAUGCCCCUUAUGACCUGGGCUACACACGUGCUACAAUGGCUGGUACAACGAGUCGCAAGUCGGUGACGGCAAGCUAAUCUCUUAAAGCCAGUCUCAGUUCGGAUUGUAGGCUGCAACUCGCCUACAUGAAGUCGGAAUCGCUAGUAAUCGCGGAUCAGCACGCCGCGGUGAAUACGUUCCCGGGCCUUGCACACACCGCCCGUC